This 774-nucleotide long non-coding RNA is filed under the name Rattus norvegicus (Norway rat). Its description in RNAcentral is "long non-coding RNA NONRATT000593". The record is from RNAcentral. Lineage: Eukaryota; Metazoa; Chordata; Mammalia; Rodentia; Muridae.
UGGUGGUGCAUGCCUUUAAUCUCAGCACUCAGGUGGACCUCGUGAGUUUGAGACCAGCCUGAGCUACAUAGCGAUUUCCAGGCCAGCAAGGAGCUCCACUGUAAGACACUGUCUCAAAAUUCAAACAAAACAAAUAGUAGCGGCAUACCCCUCCCCAAUCCAGGGCAGAUCCUCUACUCUGACUCUAUGCUGAGAGCCAGGAAUCCCCUUGCCCUGUUAGGGAGGUACUGUUAUUUUCUGCUUUUCACAGGUGGGGAAACAGAGGCAUCUGGGACUUGAACCCAGGACUCAUUUGCAGACAGUCUGACCUAAUGUAGGCUGAGCCAGAGAGGUGACUCCAGGCAACCGGGCCAGUGGCCCAGCCUGAGUCACUGGGCAAGGCUGUGGUUGGGACUCAGAGGGUUGGUAGCAGCCUGUGUCUGGGAGGGACAUCGCCAGUCCCCGCCCUCUCCACUGCAAGUGACCUUGACGCCCAGCAGACCCCUGCAGAGAACAGUCCUUGCCCACUGCCCUGACAGGAAGCCUGGGCAGGAUGCCAAGUCAUAUUUAACGCGUUUAUGAGAAGCGAGACAUGUCUAUUUAUAGCCUUUUGAUUUGUCUGCCAAGCGAGAGCAGGGUGGACGCAGUGGCAUCUCCCUGUGGAAAGCCGCCUGCUGCUCCACAGAGGUAAGAUCAACUUUGGCUGCACGUCUCAAAUUCUCCAGCCACCCUGCAGAUGUGCAGACUGUGGUCUCCAUUUUCCAGUGGGGAAACUGAGUCUCAGAGAGGCGGGGU